RNAcentral lists this ribosomal RNA (1462 nucleotides) under Staphylococcus warneri. RNAcentral's name for it is "bacterial LSU rRNA". It matches the Rfam family "Bacterial large subunit ribosomal RNA", at positions 1466 to 2925 of the family's 2925-position model. Lineage: Bacteria; Bacillati; Bacillota; Bacilli; Caryophanales; Staphylococcaceae. The record is from RNAcentral.
GGGGGGACGCAGUAGGAUAGGCGAAGCGUGCUAUUGGAUUGCACGUCCAAGCAGUAAGACUGAGUGUUAGGCAAAUCCGGCACUCAUAAGGUCAAGCUGUGAUGGGGAGAGGAAAUUGUUUCCUCGAGUCGUUGAUUUCACACUGCCAAGAAAAGCCUCUAGAUAGAUAACAGGUGCCCGUACCGCAAACCGACACAGGUAGUCAAGAUGAGAAUUCUAAGGUGAGCGAGCGAACUCUCGUUAAGGAACUCGGCAAAAUGACCCCGUAACUUCGGGAGAAGGGGUGCUCUUUAGGGUUAACGCCCAGAAGAGCCGCAGUGAAUAGGCCCAAGCGACUGUUUAUCAAAAACACAGGUCUCUGCUAAACCGUAAGGUGAUGUAUAGGGGCUGACGCCUGCCCGGUGCUGGAAGGUUAAGAGGAGUAGUUAGCUUCUGCGAAGCUACGAAUCGAAGCCCCAGUAAACGGCGGCCGUAACUAUAACGGUCCUAAGGUAGCGAAAUUCCUUGUCGGGUAAGUUCCGACCCGCACGAAAGGCGUAACGAUUUGGGCACUGUCUCAACGAGAGACUCGGUGAAAUCAUAGUACCUGUGAAGAUGCAGGUUACCCGCGACAGGACGGAAAGACCCCGUGGAGCUUUACUGUAGCCUGAUAUUGAAAUUCGGCACAGCUUGUACAGGAUAGGUAGGAGCCUUUGAAACGUGAGCGCUAGCUUACGUGGAGGCAUUGGUGGGAUACUACCCUAGCUGUGUUGGCUUUCUAACCCGCACCACUUAUCGUGGUGGGAGACAGUGUCAGGUGGGCAGUUUGACUGGGGCGGUCGCCUCCUAAAAGGUAACGGAGGCGCUCAAAGGUUCCCUCAGAAUGGUUGGAAAUCAUUCAUAGAGUGUAAAGGCAUAAGGGAGCUUGACUGCGAGACUUACAAGUCGAGCAGGGUCGAAAGACGGACUUAGUGAUCCGGUGGUUCCGCAUGGAAGGGCCAUCGCUCAACGGAUAAAAGCUACCCCGGGGAUAACAGGCUUAUCUCCCCCAAGAGUUCACAUCGACGGGGAGGUUUGGCACCUCGAUGUCGGCUCAUCGCAUCCUGGGGCUGUAGUCGGUCCCAAGGGUUGGGCUGUUCGCCCAUUAAAGCGGUACGCGAGCUGGGUUCAGAACGUCGUGAGACAGUUCGGUCCCUAUCCGUCGUGGGCGUAGGAAAUUUGAGAGGAGCUGUCCUUAGUACGAGAGGACCGGGAUGGACAUACCUCUGGUGUACCAGUUGUCGUGCCAACGGCAUAGCUGGGUAGCUAUGUAUGGACGGGAUAAGUGCUGAAAGCAUCUAAGCAUGAAGCCCCCCUCAAGAUGAGAUUUCCCAACUUCGGUUAUAAGAUCCCUCAAAGAUGAUGAGGUUAAUAGGUUCGAGGUGGAAGCGUGGUGACACGUGGAGCUGACGAAUACUAAUCGAUCGAAGACUUAAUCAAAAUU